CAUGCAAGUCGAGCGGCAGCACAGGAGAGCUUGCUCUCUGGGUGGCGAGUGGCGGACGGGUGAGGAAUACAUCGGAAUCUACUCUGUCGUGGGGGAUAACGUAGGGAAACUUACGCUAAUACCGCAUACGACCUACGGGUGAAAGCAGGGGACCUUCGGGCCUUGCGCGAUUGAAUGAGCCGAUGUCGGAUUAUCUAGUUGGCGGGGUAAAGGCCCACCAAGGCGACGAUCCGUAGCUGGUCUGAGAGGAUGAUCAGCCACACUGGAACUGAGACACGGUCCAGACUCCUACGGGAGGCAGCAGUGGGGAAUAUUGGACAAUGGGCGCAAGCCUGAUCCAGCCAUACCGCGUGGGUGAAGAAGGCCUUCGGGUUGUAAAGCCCUUUUGUUGGGAAAGAAAUCCAGCUGGCUAAUACCCGGUUGGGAUGACGGUACCCAAAGAAUAAGCACCGGCUAACUUCGUGCCAGCAGCCGCGGUAAUACGAAGGGUGCAAGCGUUACUCGGAAUU
RNAcentral lists this ribosomal RNA (509 nucleotides) under Stenotrophomonas sp. HOB1. Its description in RNAcentral is "bacterial SSU rRNA". It matches the Rfam family "Bacterial small subunit ribosomal RNA", at positions 54 to 552 of the family's 1533-position model. Lineage: Bacteria; Pseudomonadati; Pseudomonadota; Gammaproteobacteria; Lysobacterales; Lysobacteraceae. The record is from RNAcentral.